CUUCCGGGUCGUCUCCAGGGACAGGUACUCCACCCAGCUCUUCUUGUCCUGGUAGUUCUUGGACUCAUCCACGAUCUUCUGAAACAUCGCUCUCUUCCUGAACCCAGGGAACAAGGGAGGUGCAGUGCUCACACACCCAGUGCUCACCCGCUGCAUCAGAACCCUGCUCCGCAGGAUACGGCCCUGCCGUCCUGCGGACGCUGCGUCCCCAGCGCCCACAGCAGAAACCGAGGGUUGUUGGUGCCGCGGUGGUCGAUGUCAUGGCACAGGCCGGCUGUCACCAUGGCGAAGGCCUCCAGGAACCGCACCAGGACCUGGGGGAGCCGAGAGGACACAGGGCUCCGGCGGCAAGCGUGUAAGUCCCGCCAGAGCGGCACCUGUGGCUGACUUCACAGUGGAAGCCCUGCUCCGUGCCAUCAUCCCCACACCGUCUCCUGGACUUCCCGAUCUUCCCCAUCCCUGCGUUUCCCACUGGCCUCUGCUGGCCUUCCUGGGUAGGGGCUGCCACAUUGGCACCUAUGGGGUGGAGCCAGGUAGGGCAGGAGCUGAGAACAGCCCCAGCCUUCAGGGGCCGCCCAGCCUCCAUCCGACUGCCUGGCCUCAAGCUGGGAGGAGGACCCCUGGGGAUGCAGCAUAUUUUAAGAUGUUGGUUUUAGGCAUGGACAUUUGAAUGAGCAGAAUGUGUGGGCUGCAGGCUGGGGUGGGAGAACCGAUGUCCGCAGGGCAAGAGAAUGCUGGUCUCUCUUGCCCUGCGGACAUCGCCAGGAGGCUCUUCCUGCGGCCAUUGUGAUUUUUAGGGUCAGAAAAUUAUUUGGAAAUAUUUUUUAUUCUGCAAAUAUUUUCUAUACAUUUUUUCUUGAGUGUUUUCCCUUAGUAUUUAGUAAAACUUCUUUUGAAAAUGCUGGCCUGCUGCACCUGUUCUCAGAGGGGCAUGAGAAAAGAGGAUUCUCUUCCUAGGGCUGUGGGAAGCCCCUUGAGAUGUUGGAAGCAGGGCAGGGCAGGAGAACCCAGGGAGGGCACAGAGCUGUGGACGAGGGCUGGGAAAGCCAUCCCGCCUCCCCAGGGGGUCUCCGAGGAGUGCUGCUGUGGCCAAACCAGGGGGGCCACUUUGUGCUUUCUGUUUAGGUGAUGGGAUGCUUCUAUCUCCUCAGCACCCCACACCAAAUCCCCUGUUAUUGCCAGAUGAUGUGCCUAAUGAUCAAAUUGCUUGGAACUCCUAAUAAUAAAACUUUAAAUCUAUCCAUUCACCAUCCAUCUGCUGUCCACCCAUCCAUUCACCCAUUCAUUGACCCAUCUAUUAAUUCAUUAAUUGACCCACCUACUCAUCUAUCACUCAUCCACCCACUUCUCCAUCCAUCCACCUAUCCAUUCACUUAUCCAACCAUCUAACUACCAUUGGCCCACUCACCCAUCCAUCCAUUUAUCCAACCAUCCAACUACCAUUGGCCCACCCACCCAUCCAUUUAUCCAACUAUCCAACUACCAUUGGCAUCCACCCAUCCAUUCAUUUAUUCUUCCUUUGUUUCUUUCUGCUUGCCUGUUGGCCUUCCUUCCUUCCUAACCUCCCUCCUUCCUCCCUGCUUUUCACCCAUCCAGCCAUCCAUCAAUCCAGCCAUCCACCCAGCCAUCCAAUUAUUUGUUUUAUGCUUACUUCCCGUGUGCAUUUUACCUGUUCUGUGAUGAACAUGUCGGCCCUCUAAACUUCCUGUGGGAUCUGGAACCCCCAAUCCCAUCCCCCUCACCUUCUGGGGCACCUGAGGCCCUGAUCACAUCCCCACCCCCAUGUCCUGGGCGGCCUCAGGGACCUGACUAUGCGCCCUGCGGUGUCUCCCACCUCCUGGGGGAUCUGGAACUUUCGGACCACGCCCAGCUCGUAGUACAUCUGGAUGCCACAUUUGACCAGGUCCAGUUCGGUGCACUCCAGAUCCCCUGCCAAGCCUCAGACACCUCAGGCAUCUCUGAGGAGAUGUGUCAUUCCUGGCGCUCCAGCCUGUAUCCCAGGCUGCUCACACGCCCCCCUGGCUCAGCCUCACUCUCCCCUCUUGUACCCUGUGGCCCAACAGUGAAGAACUUGCCCAGUUGGGUGGACAGGGUGAUGUUGUUGAGACAAGAAAACACAAAGGUGUGCACAUGAAAAGAAACACACACACACACGGAUACAGACACACGUGACACAGGCACACCUGGAUACACGGCCACUCCCAUGAAUACAAAGGCACCGGUGUGGACACACAGGCACACACAUGAGCACCCAGGCACACCCACAGACAUGCAGGCACACACGUGCAGACUCACGCAUGUAGGCUCACACACACAGCCAUGAGGUAACACACACAACAGUGGACUUUCAGACCCACCAGGCACAUUCCCAUGCUCAGUCCAAGGCCUACUCACAAGGCUCGUGGCCCCGGGAGAUUCUGGCUAAAUUGCAUAGGCAGACACAGGGUGAUGGGGACACCACAUAAUCCCCACAUUGAUCCAGCAAUCGUCUCUAGGAGACACACACAAGCAUGUGUCUAUAUAUAUCCAUGUGCACACACAUGCACACACAAUACACACCCCCUGUGCACAUGUGAGCACACACACAUGGGUGCACACACGGGCACACACACACAAACGCCCAUGUGCACACACAUGCACACACAUACUCGUGGGCACACAUGUGCACACACAUGUGUACACAUGUGCACAUUCAUACAAUGCACACACGCACACACAUACCCACAUGUGCACACACACACCCACAUGUGCACACAUGUACACACCUGUGCAGACGCCCACGUGUGCACACACACCUACAUGCACACACACGUACACACUUGUGCACACACAGACACCCACAUGUGCACACACAUGCACACAGACACCCAUGUGCGUGCACACAUGCGGAUGCACACACACUGGGAGUUGCAGGCACCUAGGCACUCUGAGAGCAGAGAUGACAUAGAUGGACACAGAGUCCAAGUCAGGCCCACUAAACAUCCGGUGAAAACUAAACAUCUGGCAAAGCACAGAGGAGACAGGAAGACACGAAGAUACACUCAGGAGUGCAGACAUCAAAGCCACAUUCUGGCCAUGCAAACACACUCAGGGACACACUGGCUGAGACUGAAAGCCAGGCUUAUGUACACACACGUACACUAAGGUGCUUAGAUACACAAGUAUACACACACAGCACCAACAUCCCUGAUGACCGUGUGUGCAAAGCACCGUCGGGUCCCGGAGAAUGCAGAACUCUUCCUCCCAGCCUCACACGUGGCCGGCCUCCAUGGGAGGGACGGGAGCAAGGUUCUUACCAGGAUUUCGCCCAGCUCGUCCUCAUCGCAGUCAGCAGGCUCCUUCCCCAGGCGCGCUCUGGUUGGCUACACAGAGACACAGAUGUGUCACGAGAAAGAGCUUCGCAUGUGGGACAAGGUGACGGCGGUGCGUCCACCCCGUGUGAGCUAGAGGAAGGUGCUGUCAAGAGCUUGUGCUUUCACCCUGGGAAGGCCCUGGCGGCCUCUGAUCUGGAGACAAAUGACCGUGUGCAUGGCCUGCUGACUUUCCCACCUGUCCUCUCUCGGGCACUGCCUUACGCAGUCCUCAGAGCCAUGACCUCUGGGUGACCCCUGGAUGGACCCCUGGACGACCUGCCCCCACCACACAGCCGUGACCCCUGGAUGACCUGCCCCCACCGCACAGCCAUGACCCCUGGGUGAGCCCUGGAUGACCUGCCUCUGCUGCACAGCCAUGACCCCUGUGACCCCUCAAUGGACCCCUGGACGACCUGCCUGUGCCACACAGCCAUGACCCCUGGGUGACCCCUGGACGACCUGCCCCUGCCGCACAGCCGUGACCCCUGGGUGACCCCUGGACGACCUGCCCCCGCCGCACAGCCAUGACCCCUGGCCGAGACCCCUGGGUGACCCCUGGACGACCUGCCCCUGCCACACAGCCGUGACCCCUGGGUGACCCCUGGACGUCCUGCCCCGCCGCACCAGGAUGAGCUGGAUCUCGUCCCUGUCGCACUUCACGUGGUAAAGGACCAUGUCCUGUGCGAUGUCCUUGCGGUUCUCCAGCUUGUUCAUCUUGUCGUAGGUGUCGGUGUUCAUCACUGACCAGCCCAGGAACUGUGUCAGGGACUGGAGGGGAUGGCAGUGUCACUGGCGCUCAGCGCUCCCGGCGCGCCCCCUCCCAUGUGCCUGUGUGCCAGGCCCCGUGGCUCGGCGGGCAGGUCCUGGGGCUGCCACCAUGGUGUCGCAGUGCUUCUGUGUGGGGUCUCCCGGGUGCUCUGCAGAGGCUCCUGCUCCCGGGGGGGCCCUUUGUCGUCCUCUCCCUGGCCGCAUGCAUACCGCACACACAUGAGCACACGCACACAGCCGAAUGCUUGGCGGGGAGGCCCCCACACCGCACAGGCCCCACCCCUCGCAGGGCAUCCCCGGCGGAACCACGUCUGCCCAGGUGCUUACCUCCAUGAGAACCUCGUCCUGUUCGUCAAAGGGCUUCCCGUCUUUCCUGUUGUAAAAUGUGGCGACUCCCACAAUCUCCUCCUUCUUGUUGACGAUGGGCAUGGACAGCACAUUCUUGAUGAGCCACCCGGAGUCGUCCAGGGCCCCUUCCUGCGGGAGCGGUGUCCAGAGCUGAGCUCCGCCCUGAGGCUGGCCCUGGCCCGGGCGUGUGGCCGGGGAGAGUGACCUCAUGUCUUCUCCCCUAGAGCCGUGACGGCUGGGCUCGUGUUCCUGUCUCUGCUCUCUGCAUUCCCUCUCUCCCUCUCUGCAUUUGGAGUUUGUGUCCAUGGUUUUUGUGUCAUGAUAUUUUCCCACCGGAGGAGGUAGAGGCCGUUUUCCCACCAGGAGUGGUUUCAUGGGCAUGUGUGUGGGGCGGCGGUCACGGCCUCGCAGGGGUGUGUGGGGGCCGCGGUCACGGCCUCGCAGGGGUGUGUGGGGGCCGCGGUCACGGCCUCGCAGGGGUGUGUGGGGGCCGCGGUCACGGCCUUGCGGGCGUGUGUGGGGGCUGUGGUCACAGCCCCAGGUGAUCCACCCGCCUCAGCCUCCCAAAGUGCUGGGAUUACAGGCGUGAGCCACCAUGCCUGGCUGAAGUUGUUUUUUAAGUGGCAAAAACGAAUUCACUUCAUCAUCGCUGAAUCAAAAUCUCCUCUUUUGUAAGUAAGUAUAAUUUCUACCAAGGCACAGACAGAUACCUGAAAUUUGAACAUUUCGUCAGCGGAAGCAUUCAUGAUGUUACAAAUCUGAAAAAGCAUCAGAAAAACGAUUUCAUCCAAAACAGCGGAAGGUCUGUUAUGAUCUAAAAUGGCCUCUGUGGCCCUGAGGUGAGCUUUUAAGUAGGUAAAGCAGGGCAGCUGGGGGCUUCACUGAGGCACGUGGAGCUGGCCGGGAGGGCGGGACGUGGCAGAGACAAGGAGAAGCACACAUCGCCGCACCCAGUGAGGGCAAGGCUGUGGGGACUCCAGACAGCACGGGACUCACAAAGCCGCUUUCUGCCACGUAGCUUGGAAGGCCGCUGGCCAGGGCCCAGUGAUCGGCUGAGGGUGUGCUGUGGGCAGAGAGCAGGGGUCAGAUAGGCCACGCCGGGCUGGAUGUGCGCGUGCAGGAGUCAGAGGGACUGGAUGUCUGUGUGCAGGGGUGAGAGGGGCUGGUCUAGGCUGCACGUGUGUGUGCAGGGGUCAGAGGGGCUGGUCUGGGCUGCACGUGUGUGUGCAGGGGUCAGAGGGGCCAGGCUGCGCUGGAUGUAGGUGUACUGGGGUCAGAUGGACUGGGCGUGUGUGCAGGGGUCUGGGGGUCUCUGGCUCAUGUGCCAUCCUCAGCAUUUACUCUCUUCUCUGAGUGCCAGGGGGUUCAGGAGGCGAGGAGGCCAGGGCGUGGGUUGGAGGACGGCUGUGCUGCCUUCUUCCUCCUCCCCAGGCUGCCGUGCUGGGGCCCCUCCCUCUUGGGAACCCCUCCCUCUCCGGAGGCCGUAUGGCUUCAGCCUGCUUUCUAGGACUCAGCGUUGGUGCCUGCCCUGCCACCCUGACCCUGACUUGUGCUCAAGCCUGGCACCUGGAUCCUGGUUCCUGCUUGGGGCCUGGGGAUGGGGUCCCAAUAGGCUUAUGGGAUCACAGGGCCACUGGGCCACCAGCUGCCCCUCCCUUGGCUGGAGUCCUGCCCUGACCUCCGGACUGGAGUUCCCCUCCUCUUCCAGCCCCACGGGGCCAAGACUCGGCCUCCUGGCUGGAGGCUCCACUGUCUGGGUGGGGCUGGUGGUGCCAGGGUCAAAUCCUGGGGCCUUCAUGCUCAAUUGUUGCUGACGAGGCCGCCUGGACAGCUUGCCUGGUCCCCUGUAUGUCCACUCUGGAUGUCCACAGUGACUCGGGCUCCUCAGCAGCCCACGUCCUCCUCACCAUCUCCCAGAACAGAGGCCCACGGAGUACCGCUCGCAGUUGAGGUAGGCCCGCACCGUGUAGAAGGCCUUGUGGAACUGCCUCUCGAUGUCCGUCAGCUCCUCAAACACCUUGUUGGCCGACCACAGCAGCACCUGGAGGGAGGGGCACACCUGUGGGCCUGUGGCCACUCCCACCCUCACGCCGGUCUGACCACAGCAGCAGGGGUUUAACUCAAGCCUGACACAGGUUUCAUCUGAGCUUGUGGGGCCCGGGAGCUGGCUGGCGGUGAGGCCUCGAGGCUGCGGUCGUGUCCCUGAUCACUCAGGAGUGGACGAGUGGAAAGUGGAAUCUGUCGCUUUGAGCUUGACAGGCAAACAUCCGACCAGCCCUUCCUCCGCCCGGCUGCUCCAGAACCACCUGCGGCGAGCAGGGCUUUGAGAACAUCGGGCCGUGGUUUCCGCACGUCAGGCCGCCUGUGGCCUCCGCCAAGCGUCUGAGAGUGAAGCAUUGCUGACGCACUCCACGAGGUCCUGGCCAGACCCCACUCAGGACAUCCCGCUGCACAGGCCCCUGGUUGCUGGGUCAGCGCUGCCACCAGGCUCAGACUCACCCCAGGGCCCUCCUUGGGCCACCUUUCUCUGCCUCCUUGGUCAAGGCCCAGACCCAGGCCCCACCAGGCCCUGCCUCCUCACACUCGCGGCGGCCGCUGGGUCUUCUACCGCAUGGUGCCAGCUCCCUCUCCUCCGCUGCGGUGUCCUAGCCCAGCUCUCUCCCUGCCAGGCCCUCUGAAGUUCCACCCCCUGGCACUCAGCUCAUGGUGGGAACAGGACCAGGCUCUCCUGUUGCCAAGGGCAGUGAGAUGUUCGUAGCUUUAUUUCCCAGUACAUUGAUUUUACUGAUUUUAGUUUAUCUUCAGUUGAAUAAUUGUGUGUAUUGAUGGGGUUUAUGUUUUAUGGGGUUUGGCGUGAUGUUCUGAUGUAAGUAUUUGUUGCAGAAAGAUUCAAUUAAGCUAAUCAACAUAUCCAUCACCUCACCAACUUGUUUUUUUUGUGGUGAGAACAUUACAAGUCUAUUUUCUAGCAAUUUGGUAUACAAUACAGUCAUCCCUCGGCAUCCUCAGGGAAAUUGGUUCCAGGACGCCGCUCUGAUAACAAAAUCCGAGGAUGUUCAAGUCCCGGAUGUGAAAUGGCCUAGAGUUUGUACAGAGGUUGCACACGCACCCCCAGGACUUCAAAUCAUCUCCGAUGACUUAGCACCCAGUGCAAGGCAAGGCCAUGAAAACGGCUGUUCUACUGUAUUGUUUUACAUUCUUAUUCUUAUUUUUAAUUUAAAACUUUUCCCACAUCAUAAAUCCUCGGAAG
This 7719-nucleotide long non-coding RNA is filed under the name Homo sapiens (human). Its description in RNAcentral is "non-protein coding lnc-ATP5ME-1:4". Lineage: Eukaryota; Metazoa; Chordata; Mammalia; Primates; Hominidae. The record is from RNAcentral.